AGCGAACGCUGGCGGCAGGCCUAACACAUGCAAGUCGAACGAACCUUUCGGGGUUAGUGGCGGACGGGUGAGUAACACGUGGGAACGUGCCUUUAGGUUCGGAAUAACUCAGGGAAACUUGUGCUAAUACCGAAUGUGCCCUUCGGGGGAAAGAUUAAUCGCCUUUAGAGCGGCCCGCGUCUGAUUAGCUAGUUGGUUGAGGUAAUGGCUCACCAAGGCGACGAUCAGUAGCUGGUCUGAGAGGAUGAUCAGCCACAUUGGGACUGAGACACGGCCCAAACUCCUACGGGAGGCAGCAGUGGGGAAUCUUGCGCAAUGGGCGAAAGCCUGACGCAGCCACGCCGCGUGAAUGAUGAAGGUCUUAGGAUUGUAAAAUUCUUUCACCGGGGACGAUAAUGACGGUACCCGGAGAAGAAGCCCCGGCUAACUUCGUG
RNAcentral lists this ribosomal RNA (434 nucleotides) under uncultured bacterium. Its description in RNAcentral is "partial 16S ribosomal RNA". It matches the Rfam family "Bacterial small subunit ribosomal RNA", at positions 29 to 507 of the family's 1533-position model. The record is from RNAcentral.